This is a long non-coding RNA of Alosa sapidissima (American shad), 165 nucleotides long. RefSeq lists it as uncharacterized. The transcript is spliced from 3 exons. Lineage: Eukaryota; Metazoa; Chordata; Actinopteri; Clupeiformes; Clupeidae. The record is from RefSeq and is a predicted model, not a curated record.
AACCACAGACUGGGAGGCGCUACAGACUUACUAUACUAUUUACUAACGUACAGCGUUCAAGAAUAUGUGACUUUUUAGAGCAGGAGAUGUAUAAAUGGGCUGGAUAAACUAGUUUAGAGCAGGAGAUGUAUAAAUGGGCUGGAUAAACUAAUUUAGAGCAGGAGA